This 496-nucleotide ribosomal RNA is filed under the name uncultured bacterium. RNAcentral describes it as "partial 16S ribosomal RNA". It matches the Rfam family "Bacterial small subunit ribosomal RNA", at positions 29 to 507 of the family's 1533-position model. The record is from RNAcentral.
AUGAACGCUGGCGGCGUGCCUAAUACAUGCAAGUCGAGCGAACAGAUGAGGAGCUUGCUCCUCUGACGUUAGCGGCGGACGGGUGAGUAACACGUGGAUAACCUACCUAUAAGACUGGGAUAACUUCGGGAAACCGGAGCUAAUACCGGAUAAUAUAUUGAACCGCAUGGUUCAAUAGUGAAAGACGGUUUUGCUGUCACUUAUAGAUGGAUCCGCGCCGCAUUAGCUAGUUGGUAAGGUAACGGCUUACCAAGGCAACGAUGCGUAGCCGACCUGAGAGGGUGAUCGGCAACACUGGAACUGAGACACGGUACAGACUCCUACGGGAGGCAGCAGUAGGGAAUCUUACGCAAUGGGCGAAAGCCUGACGGAGCAACGCCGCGUGAGAGAUGAAGGUCUUCGGAUCGUAAAACUCUGUUAUUAGGGAAGAACAAAUGUGUAAGUAACUAUGCACGUCUUGACGGUACCUAAUCAGAAAGCCACGGCUAACUACGUG